RNAcentral lists this ribosomal RNA (374 nucleotides) under uncultured organism. Its description in RNAcentral is "partial 16S ribosomal RNA". It matches the Rfam family "Bacterial small subunit ribosomal RNA", at positions 527 to 896 of the family's 1533-position model. The record is from RNAcentral.
GUAGGUGGCAAGCGUUGUCCGGAAUUAUUGGGCGUAAAGCGCGCGCAGGCGGUUCUUUAAGUCUGAUGUGAAAGCCCACGGCUCAACCGUGGAGGGUCAUUGGAAACUGGAGAACUUGAGUACAGAAGAGGAAAGCGGAAUUCCACGUGUAGCGGUGAAAUGCGUAGAGAUGUGGGGGAACACCAGUGGCGAAGGCGGCUUUCUGGUCUGUAACUGACGCUGAGGCGCGAAAGCGUGGGGAGCAAACAGGAUUAGAUACCCUGGUAGUCCACGCCGUAAACGAUGAGUGCUAAGUGUUAGGGGGGUUUUCCGCCCCCCUUAGUGCUGCAGCUAACGCAUUAAGCACUCCGCCUGGGAGUACGGCCGCAAGGCUG